UAAUGGACCAGGAAAUUGUAUCAACCUC
RNAcentral lists this non-coding RNA (28 nucleotides) under Mus musculus (house mouse). Lineage: Eukaryota; Metazoa; Chordata; Mammalia; Rodentia; Muridae. The record is from RNAcentral.